UCUAAAGGGUGGAGGGAGAAAACGCGGCAAAUGCCAAUGUUGCUGAAGGGAAAGCAUGUUGGGGGCGCUGUCCCAGAUGCCCUGCUGCAGAACUAGUCAACCUAGAAAUGUAAAGACCAGAAUGUGAUCGCAGAGAAAUUCCUUGCCGAUUUAAACAAGAAGGCUUCAGGACUCGGGGAGAUUUGAAUGCCUCCCAUGUGCCCAGUUUGAAAACAAGUAUUAUGAAAAAAAAUUAGAGAGGAACGUGUUCUUGUCCACAGAAACGUUCGUUCCAGGAGUCAGGAAACUGUCUGGAAGACACGUGCGGUAAGAGAAGAAACAAGUCUGCAUCGAGAAACACAUUCUGAGAAGUCGCCAGCAGGUGGUGCAAUGAAACAAGACUUGAUCUUGGAGCCUGAAAAGCAAACCAAGACAAAAACAUGAAAAGCAGCCAACACGCCACCUAGUCAUUGGAAAACAUUUUUGUGAAUUUCCUGCUAUCUACAAUCUUCCUCCAAUAUCUUCCAUCAUACAAAAGAAUCUGGUACAUACGGAUUCCCUGGGGAACUGUCAGACUUCAUUCUCCAAAUGCAUUGAACAAAGAAAAACAUAGAUGCUCGA
Long non-coding RNA from Neogale vison (American mink), 600 nucleotides. RefSeq lists it as uncharacterized. The record is from RefSeq and is a predicted model, not a curated record. Lineage: Eukaryota; Metazoa; Chordata; Mammalia; Carnivora; Mustelidae. The transcript is spliced from 3 exons.